RNAcentral lists this transfer RNA (77 nucleotides) under Dehalococcoidia bacterium. RNAcentral describes it as "tRNA-Arg". It matches the Rfam family "tRNA". Rfam says of the family: Transfer RNA (tRNA) molecules are approximately 80 nucleotides in length. Their secondary structure includes four short double-helical elements and three loops (D, anti-codon, and T loops). Further hydrogen bonds mediate the characteristic L-shaped molecular structure. tRNAs have two regions of fundamental functional importance: the anti-codon, which is responsible for specific mRNA codon recognition, and the 3' end, to which the tRNAs corresponding amino acid is attached (by aminoacyl-tRNA synthetases). tRNAs cope with the degeneracy of the genetic code in two manners: having more than one tRNA (with a specific anti-codon) for a particular amino acid; and 'wobble' base-pairing, i.e. permitting non-standard base-pairing at the 3rd anti-codon position. The record is from RNAcentral. Lineage: Bacteria; Bacillati; Chloroflexota; Dehalococcoidia. RNAcentral also lists the same sequence under 1 other name.
GCCCCUGUAGCUCAAUUGGAUAGAGCGAAAGACUUCUAAUCUUUAGGUUGUGGGUUCGAGUCCCGCCGGGGGUACCA